Long non-coding RNA from Balaenoptera acutorostrata (minke whale), 740 nucleotides. RefSeq lists it as uncharacterized. The record is from RefSeq and is a predicted model, not a curated record. NCBI's taxonomy places the organism in Eukaryota, Metazoa, Chordata, Mammalia, Artiodactyla, Balaenopteridae. The transcript is spliced from 3 exons.
CAAGGCAGUGAAGAGGGAUUCUCUAUAACCUUCCUCUCCUUUGGCCUGCUCCAUCUUCGCCCCUGGUGUGGAAGGUAUUUUGUUUUUAAACAUCAAGAUCAUCCUAUGAGCUUUCUGAUGGCAUCAUUGUGGUUCGUGUGAGUUCUACAAAGAAGAUUAUGUAACUGGUUCUCCAGCUAUAAAUGGGCCAACUCAAAAGAGAAAAGGAAUAAUCAGCUCUGGAAGGAGACUCUUCUAACUCCCUCAGCAAGUUUAAGGGACUUGCCUAAAGCUGCAGAGCUGGUUAGUACAGGAGCAUGCCUUCUCCUCCUGCAACUAGAUGUUAAGCUCCCAAGAGGCCGGAAUAGACCAGGUCGGUACAUUCUUCUCUCCAGAUCCACCCAGUGGCUGGCUUUGGAUAAAAGUACCCCAGGCCACCUUAACCCCAAACUGGGUUAGAGCUUGGAUCUGUGACUGAGGCUGCUUAGAGAUGUGUGAUGGAAAGGAAGUGCUCCUGGGCGUUCAGUGUAGCCCUGAGACACUUUUGGUUGCAGAGACCCUGGUAGUCACCUACUGAUCUUUAGAAUCUGCUCAUCUUCAUCAUCUCUUACCCCAUGCAUGGUGGUAUUUUGAAAGACAGCAGCUGGGCUUAGGAUAAAGAAGACAUAGCUCACAGGCUAAUGUCCUGCUCUUUCACCUGGAGUCCUGAUACGUUUUCUGCCCAGACAGGAAGCCAUGGGGACCCCUCAUUCUCCCAGGCU